Molecule: ribosomal RNA, 982 nt
Filed under: uncultured bacterium
Lineage: Bacteria
Description: bacterial SSU rRNA
Rfam family: Bacterial small subunit ribosomal RNA
Source: RNAcentral
AGCAAGCACCGGCUAACUCCGUGCCAGCAGCCGCGGUAAUACGGAGGGUGCAAGCGUUACUCGGAAUCACUGGGCGUAAAGCGCGCGCAGGCGGCUAUUUAAGUUGGAUGGGAAAGCCUACGGCUCAACCGUAGAACUGCAUCCAAAACUAUUUAGCUAGAGUGUGGGAGAGGAAGAUGGAAUUAGUUGUGUAGGGGUAAAAUCCGUAGAGAUAACUAGGAAUACCAAAAGCGAAGGCAAUCUUCUGGAACACUACUGACGCUGAGGCGCGAAGGCGUGGGGAGCAAACAGGAUUAGAUACCCUGGUAGUCCACGCAGUAAACGAUGAAUGUUAGUCGUCGGGGGCCUAGUGUCUUCGGUGAUGCAGCUAACGCAUUAAACAUUCCGCCUGGGGAGUACGGUCGCAAGAUUAAAACUCAAAGGAAUAGACGGGGACCCGCACAAGUGGUGGAGCAUGUGGUUUAAUUCGAAGAUACGCGAAGAACCUUACCUAGCCUUGACAUAUAUUAGAACUCCGCAGAGAUGCAGAGGUGCCUUCGGGAGCUUUUAUACAGGUGCUGCACGGCUGUCGUCAGCUCGUGUCGUGAGAUGUUGGGUUAAGUCCCGCAACGAGCGCAACCCUCGUCACUAGUUACUAACGGUUCGGCCGAGGACUCUAGUGAGACUGCCUUCGUAAGGAGGAGGAAGGUGAGGACGACGUCAAGUCAUCAUGGCCCUUACGGCUAGGGCAACACACGUGCUACAAUGGCCAGGACAAUGAGACGCGAUACCGCGAGGUGGAGCAAAUCUAUAAACCUGGUCUCAGUUCGGAUUGUAGUCUGCAACUCGACUACAUGAAGCUGGAAUCACUAGUAAUCGUAGAUCAGCUAUGCUACGGUGAAUACGUUCCCGGGUCUGUACUCACGCCCGUCACACCAUGGGGAGUUGAUUUCACCCGAAGCGGGGGAAGCUAAACUGGCUACCCCUCCCACGGUGGAAAUCA